Molecule: long non-coding RNA, 1684 nt
Organism: Mya arenaria
Lineage: Eukaryota; Metazoa; Mollusca; Bivalvia; Myida; Myidae
Exons: 4
Source: RefSeq, a predicted model, not a curated record
UUGGGACAUUUCAUUUGACGGGUGGUCUCGUAUAUACUAAAUGUAUUACCAGCUAUUAACUAUAUAAUAGCCAUUGUUAUCGAGAAUAAUCAACCCGUUUCAUCAUUUCAAUUUUGACGUUAGCAAUACACAUCUAAUCAUUUUAGGCAGUCCCAAAAUUAGUUGUUAGUAUUAAAAUCGUCUCUUUUAUUAAGAAAUCGAUCAAUUUUGCAAUGGGUGAGGAAUGAGUUCUUAACAAACACGCAUAUUGUAAUACGUUAUACGUCAGAGGACGGACAGUGAUUUUGCCUUUCUCUUUCCGGAUGGCAUUUCGCUUCGAGAUAUUGUGGAAGAGUCUCGGGGCGCUAAGUGGGUAAGGAGGACCCUUCAGGUACAGACGGUUCAGACGCUCACAACCAACACAACCGUAGCAGUGCCCGCACUAGCCCCGACGGGGACUUCCGGCCCAGCCGCGGCUACAGCUGUUGCAUCUUUGGUGCUUAUUUCCGGCCCAGCCGCUCCUGCAAUUGAUGCGCCUAUAGCGCCUAUAGACCUUGCUACCACGGGGAGGGUACCCACACCUUAGGUCGCGUCACUAUCCCUCGCUUUCAACGGAUUACAAACCGCUAACCUGGCAGGCCUCCAGACACUGAAUGGGCCCAUCAGCAUUCCGCAGCUAUUGGCAAUGAACGGCGAACAAGCCUUAUGUGCAGCAGAGCCAUAACAUCCAUGGUCGUUUAAAGCCACUACGACGAACUUGUAAAGUCACUGACCACUACGCAAACACAUGUGCACGCUCGUGAGACCAAAACCUUCAUCGAAUGGACAACUCGUGGAGUUACCAACGGCGUGGCUCCUAUUAAUCAAAGCACUGAAAGUGCUGAGGGACGGUGCCUCUGGUGUAUGUGCAGAACAAUCAAUAUACAGGGAGAGCUGCCUGGUUUCAAAAUCGUGUCGUUGUUAUCAACUAUUGACAGUUUGGUUAUUUCAAGAGCCAACUUUCGUCAUGCAUGACUACUUUUUAUGAAUUUGAAUGCAUGUUAAGCAAGCGAUCACUUUGUACGAAGUUGCAUACGAAGAUUUCUGCGACCGUUUUAUUAACGCUUUCGUACGUAAUUACUCUUCAAAAUGGGGAAGGAUCGGACGAAAAUGUAAACAAACCGUAGAUGCAAUCUUUUGAAAGAAAAGCUCAGUCAUCUGAGAUGCAGUGUUGCAGCACUGAAAAGCAUUGGGUGCCCAUCAUAGAGUGUUUCUCUUUGCCUGCAAUCAGGAUACAUCAACUGACCUUUGAACUGUGUUUUCCAACUUGGGAUUCAAACACAUGCCCUCUUGGGUAGGAGAAAGUCACCUGUGGCUAUAUCACUAUACUUCUUCAAGUCUUGCUCUAUGAGUGAUCAUGAUGUGAAAUAAAACAAAAUGCAGUCAUCUUUUUGUUAUAUUAAAUAAGUUAUGAACAAAUAAAAUAUUUCAAACAUUUUAUUAAUUCGUUAUUUUGAAAAACAGUAUGAAUAAACAUACAUGUAUACCAACAGACAAACAAAUAAUUGGCAAAGAAUGGGCACAAAAAUAUGAGAAUAUUGAAGUUGGAGCUUUAAUGUUAAUAUUGAUUUUAAUGUGACAGAAAAUGCCCCAAUUUGCAAAAAUGCAUUGAAUAUCAAAUGACAAUGCUUGGAUUAACAAAAUUCUGCCCAAAUGAGUAUAGAUC